GCGGCGGCUGGCCGGAGGCGGGGCCAUGGCCUCGCUGGCACUGGGUCGCGAGCGGGCGGAGGAACUGCUGUCCGGGCUCGGCGACCGGGCCGCCGCG
Molecule: transfer RNA, 97 nt
Filed under: Streptomyces sp. M56
Lineage: Bacteria; Bacillati; Actinomycetota; Actinomycetes; Kitasatosporales; Streptomycetaceae
Description: tRNA-Ala
Source: RNAcentral